AGCCCCCUCGGCAGGCAGCAGUGAGGAAUAUUGGUCAAUGGGCGGAAGCCUGAACCAGCCAAGUCGCGUGAGGGAAUAAGGCCCUACGGGUCGUAAACCUCUUUUGCCGGGGAGCAAGGGCGGGGACGUGUCCCGGCCCGGAGAGUACCCGGAGAAAAAGCAUCGGCUAACUCCGUGCCAGCAGCCGCGGUAAUACGGAGGAUGCGAGCGUUAUCCGGAUUUAUUGGGUUUAA
RNAcentral lists this ribosomal RNA (233 nucleotides) under uncultured bacterium. RNAcentral describes it as "partial 16S ribosomal RNA". It matches the Rfam family "Bacterial small subunit ribosomal RNA", at positions 334 to 563 of the family's 1533-position model. The record is from RNAcentral.